This 247-nucleotide unclassified non-coding RNA is filed under the name Hevea brasiliensis (rubber tree). Lineage: Eukaryota; Viridiplantae; Streptophyta; Magnoliopsida; Malpighiales; Euphorbiaceae. The record is from RNAcentral.
GAAGCUAUAAAAUUAACUGGAGAUUCGUAUGUAACUGCUGGACAGGUAAUUUCAUGUAUAUAAGAAUUUAACAUUUUUCUGUGAAAGCUGGAGAGGGUUUUUGUGUGUUAUUUUAGUGAUUCGUCUUUCUGUUUAGCAAUGUGGAGUGUGUGUUGUAUUAGUUUUUUCUGAUGCUCGCUAUUUUUGGCUAUAUAAAUUUUACAACUUCAUGUCAUGCACUUGAUUUUGUUAAUCCAUGCUCCAGUGC